GUAACGGCGAGUGAAGUGGGAAUAGCUCAAAUUUAAAAUCCAACACUUUUGUGUUUGAAUUGUAGUCUAAAGAGGUGUCAUCAAGCGCAGUGCUGUUGCACAAGUCUCCUGGAAUGGAGCAUCACAGAGGGUGAGAAUCCCGUUUGGGUAGUGGCACUGUGCAAUAACGAGACACUCUCUAAGAGUCGAGUUGUUUGGGAAUGCAGCUCAAAAAGGGUGGUAAACUUCAUCCAAGGCUAAAUAUAGGCAGGAGACCGAUAGCGAACAAGUACCGUGAGGGAAAGAUGAAAAGCACCUUGAAAAGGGAGUUAAACAGCGCGUGAAAUUGUUAAAAGGGAAACGAUUGAGUCCAGCAUUGUGUGCAUAUGCUGGCUUUGGAGUUGUCUUGAGCGAGCGCAAGCCGGUCUUUGCAACGAAAAAGUCCGCUUUGCAUACGAGUUCGGGCUGCUUUGGUGGUCUGGAGAAUAAGGGUGGAAUGUACUCACAAUUACGUGAACUUAUAGCCAGUCUUCAUUACAGAACACCAGAGCAGUAGCAUCUUUCUAUUGCGUUUGUACCGAUUCGCUUGGCUAGACAAGGCUUCAUGAAGACUUGACGACUCCUUGUGAUUAAAUUCAAAAGUGCAA
Molecule: ribosomal RNA, 626 nt
Filed under: uncultured fungus
Lineage: Eukaryota; Fungi
Description: eukaryotic LSU rRNA
Rfam family: Eukaryotic large subunit ribosomal RNA
Source: RNAcentral